ACGACCCCGGAGACGGUGCACGUCGAUAAACGAAUGUGCGAGUUCAAUAUGACAAAAUGACUCUCGGCAACGGAUAUCUCGGCUCUCGCAUCGAUGAAGAACGUAGCAAAAUGCGAUACGUGGUGUGAAUUGCAGAAUUCCGUGAACCAUCGAGUUUUUGAACGCAAGUUGCGCCCAACGUCAUUCGGCCGAGGGCACGUCUGCCUGGGCGUCACGCA
RNAcentral lists this ribosomal RNA (218 nucleotides) under Elatostema parvum var. parvum. RNAcentral's name for it is "5.8S ribosomal RNA". The stretch from base 59 to 214 matches the Rfam family "5.8S ribosomal RNA". Rfam says of the family: 5.8S ribosomal RNA (5.8S rRNA) is a component of the large subunit of the eukaryotic ribosome. It is transcribed by RNA polymerase I as part of the 45S precursor that also contains 18S and 28S rRNA. Functionally, it is thought that 5.8S rRNA may be involved in ribosome translocation. Lineage: Eukaryota; Viridiplantae; Streptophyta; Magnoliopsida; Rosales; Urticaceae. The record is from RNAcentral.